RNAcentral lists this unclassified non-coding RNA (751 nucleotides) under Hevea brasiliensis (rubber tree). Lineage: Eukaryota; Viridiplantae; Streptophyta; Magnoliopsida; Malpighiales; Euphorbiaceae. The record is from RNAcentral.
GUUCUGUUGAGGUAACUUCUCGACGUUGCGUUUUUACCUUAUUCUCACUUCCCUGAUUUUGGAUUUCUAUGAUCUAACUUCUUUUGCUCUUUAGUCUGCUUCCGAUUAUGAAUUUACCCAGAUCAGAUCAUUUCAUGGAAUUGUAUUUGCUUAUUAUACACUCUUUGUUUGGAUGCCGCGAAAGAAUUAUGCUUGGAAAGGAAAACUAGGUUUUAACUGCUAAUCUUAUGCUUCUCUUUUUUGCUUAACUGUGGGUUUUAUGUUAUGGGUGAUGACCAAAUAACAUUGAAUACGUUAAUAAUCGGUAGUUUUUUUUUUAUAAUUUUUUUGGUAUUUGCAAUCUUCAAUGGAAUGUGUAUGAAACGGCUUGCAAUGUAAUUUUCCAGAAGUUUGUAUGUAGAGAGAUAUACUACAAGUGGAUUUAAUUUUUUUAAUAGAGAGUUCGUUCAGAUUUAGAGUUAAGCGUUAUUGAAAUCAUGGUUUAGAUAUAAGUUGCUGCUUACCGGACAGUUUAUGGAGCUUGCUUGUUGAAUUUUACUGCUUGCCUAUUUCAAAAGUGCGUUUCCUUUCUUGUCAUUUGCUUCUGAUAAACCUGAUUCUAAUAAUUGAACUUCAAUAAUGAGAUUUUCUGUAGAUUGAAUUAAUUCUCAAAUCUAUGAGCACACCCACGGGCACACCCAUUUACCCACACGGUUUAGAUUGAUGUUCGUUGAGAAGGAUUCAGAUUAUUCAUUUACAAGUAACUUUACCA